Molecule: ribosomal RNA, 306 nt
Filed under: uncultured bacterium
Lineage: Bacteria
Description: partial 16S ribosomal RNA
Rfam family: Bacterial small subunit ribosomal RNA
Source: RNAcentral
GACAGCAGGUAGCCGCGGUAAUACAGAGGGUGCGAGCGUUAAUCGGAUUUACUGGGCGUAAAGCGUGCGUAGGCGGCUUCUUAAGUCGGAUGUGAAAUCCCUGAGCUUAACUUAGGAAUUGCAUUCGAUACUGGGAAGCUAGAGUAUGGGAGAGGAUGGUAGAAUUCCAGGUGUAGCGGUGAAAUGCGUAGAGAUCUGGAGGAAUACCGAUGGCGAAGGCAGCCAUCUGGCCUAAUACUGACGCUGAGGUACGAAAGCAUGGGGAGCAAACAGGAUUAGAUACCCCUGUAGUCCCUGUCUCUUAUA